Molecule: long non-coding RNA, 609 nt
Organism: Spodoptera frugiperda (fall armyworm)
Lineage: Eukaryota; Metazoa; Arthropoda; Insecta; Lepidoptera; Noctuidae
Exons: 6
Source: RefSeq, a predicted model, not a curated record
AUAAAAAAAAAUGCCCAGACAGUGUGCAUUUGGCUGUGCAUAUGAAAUCGGUGUGCCAGUCCACCGGUUCCCAAACGCCAACAAGUUCCCUAAUGAGUUCAGGGCAUGGGUGGAACUUGUUGGCGGAAAAAUUGAAAAAGAAAGCGACUUACAUUUAAAAAAAAAAAAUUGUAUGUUAUUUGCAUUUUACUACCAGGGAUCGUAACCGCUAUUCCCGGCUAAAACUUGGAGCAGUACCGAGCCUGCAUUUACCUGGGUCAGCGGUUUUGGUACCUGGUAGUACAAUGCAGCAAGCAGAAACUGCUCAUAAUGAAGAUUUACUACCCGACUCGAACAAUCGACAUAGGUACCCAUACAGCGAGACCUGAAAGGCUUAACAGCAAUAAUAAAAUAAUUCAAGAACAAUCUUAAAGCUUGGCUAGCAAGCCAAAGAAAUAAUUAAAAUACGGCAGGUGCUGUUAAGAGUUACACUGAGACGUAUAACUGGGGGAAAAUAAAAGCCAUCGACGCGAAAACAAAAGGCCUCCGGUCUGGGAUAAGCCGCCUUAACUUAUUGCUUUGUGUUUCUAAUAUUUUGAAGUUUUAUAAAUAAUACACAAAUAAAUGGAC